UCUGUUGGUUGGUCUGUUGGUUGGUUGGUUGGUCUGUUUGCGCAACUUUAACAUUUUGCAAUAACUUUUGCUAUAUUGAAUAUAGCAACUUGAUAUUUGGCAUGCAUGUGUAUCUUAUGGAGCUGCACAUUUUGAGUGGUGAAAGGUCAAGGUCAUCCUUCAAGGUCAGAGGUCAAAUAUAUGUGGCCAAAAUCGCUUAUUUUAUGAAUACUUUUGCAAUAUUGAAGAUAGCAACUUGAUAUUUGGCAUGCAUGUGUAUCUCAUGGAGCUGCACAUUUUGAGUGGUGAAAGGUCAAGGUCAUCCUUCAAGGUCAGAGGUCAAAUAUAUGUGGCCCAAAUCGCUUAUUUUAUGAAUACUUUUGCAAUAUUGAAGAUAGCAACUUGAUAUUUGGCAAGCAUGUGUAUCUCAUGGAGCUGCACAUUUUGAGUGGUGAAAGGUCAAGGUCGAGGUCAUCCUUCAAGGUCAAAUAUAUGGGUCAAAAUUGCUCAUGUAAUGUCACUUCUGCAAUAUUGAAGCUAGCAAUUUUAUAUUUGAAAUGCAUGUGUAUCUCAUGGAGCUGCACAUUUUGAGUGGUGAAGGGUCAAGGUCAUCCUUCAAGGUCAAACGUCAUAUAGGGGGACAUUGUGUUUCACAAACGCAU
Molecule: long non-coding RNA, 641 nt
Organism: Dreissena polymorpha
Lineage: Eukaryota; Metazoa; Mollusca; Bivalvia; Myida; Dreissenidae
Exons: 3
Source: RefSeq, a predicted model, not a curated record